UAACGUCAUGUUCAUCGGCCAAUUAAAAGUCAACCAUUUCUCCUUCGUUUGUUCACUAUUAGUAUAGCGACUCCAUUAUGCGAAUACUACGAGAUUAUUUAUGAGUAGUUUUCUGUUUCUUAUUAAAAAAAAAAAAAAAAAAAUUAUAAAAAGAAAGAUUUAUCAGGUUAUUAGUAUUUUAUACAUAUAAAAAUGAUGGAUUGAUUUAUUAUGAAUAAGUUAAAAAUAAUUACACCAGAGAACAUCUGCUGAACUAGGAAUUUGAAAUAGAGGGUAAAAGCUCCUUAUAGGCACUCUUUCUUCCUUUGGAUCCGCGUCUGCUAGAGUACGAUACCGAUGGCGUAACAAAGAGUAAAAAUUCAUUUUUUAUUGAACUAUUCGUCAGCAUAUUAAUAAUAUUAUUUUAAUUUAAUGAGAGACAUGCUUUACUCGCGCGGAAAAUGUAAAUUACCAAGUAAAAAUUAAUAUAAUUACGCAGAUUGAUCCAUUUAUCACGUUUUAGCUAUUAUUUUAGAAGUGCAUUUUAAUUUUUUUCAAUCGUUGUAGAAUCUUUUAAAGGACCUCGUAAAGAUAUUUGUAUUUUCUGUCCGGCUAUUGAAUAGCAACAAGGACAUUCGGCAUUUCGAUGCUUGCCUACUCUUUGGUUGAGUUCGAGGCAAAGAAACCUAUUAUCCAUUUUCUAUUAUAAAGGAGAGUAUUUACUAAGAUUUAUUCGAAAAAUGUUUUGAAUAUUUUUAUUUUUCAUCGAGAUAUGCGUGUUUCAAUUUAACUUAAUUUCUCUUGAUUUUAACCGUUAACAGCUUAAUCGGUAAAUCCGAUAUUAGUGUUAUCAGAGUGGGAUUUAUGAGAGGUGGACUGAGUCGGCUGUAACCUAAAGGCUCUCACAGUUUUGUAAUUAUUUAUUGACAAUUAUAGGG
Cinara cedri is the source of this 917-nucleotide non-coding RNA. Lineage: Eukaryota; Metazoa; Arthropoda; Insecta; Hemiptera; Aphididae. The record is from the annotation of a GenBank genome assembly.